UCGAUAACGAACGAGACCUCGACCUGCUAAAUAGUUCGACAAAGGAUUCUUUCUUUGGACGUGACUUCUUAGAGGGACUAUUGACUAUUAGUCAAUGGAAGUUUGAGGCAAUAACAGGUCUGUGAUGCCCUUAGAUGUUCUGGGCCGCACGCGCGCUACACUGAUCAAGUCAACGAGUUUACAACCUUGGCCGGAAGGUCUGGGUAAUCUUUUGAAACUUGAUCGUGCUGGGGAUAGUCCAUUGCAAUUAUUGGACUUCAACGAGGAAUUCCUAGUAAGCGUGAGUCAUCAGCUCGCGUUGAUUACGUCCCUGCCCUUUGUACACACCGCCCGUCGCUAAUACCGAUUGAAUGGAUG
RNAcentral lists this ribosomal RNA (357 nucleotides) under Eukaryota sp. Its description in RNAcentral is "SSU rRNA". It matches the Rfam family "Eukaryotic small subunit ribosomal RNA", at positions 1325 to 1699 of the family's 1831-position model. The record is from RNAcentral.